AGGUAGCAUCACCUCUUUGAUUUCUUCAAAUCAAAGCUUUUCAUCAGCAUUAGAACCUCUUCUUUCUUCAGAAUGAGCUUCAAGCUGCGGAUAAGUUGCAAAUGUCAAAUGUAGAACUGAAGCUGACUUACAUCAAAACUCAAUAGCUAUAACCAAAGUAGCACUGCAAAUGCUUCAGCUACCACACAGUACCAGCGUAUGGCCCAGAUGUGAACAGCUAGAGCCAAAUCCAACACUUCUGUAUUUUCAGUGUUGUUGUCUAGGUUAGCUAGAUCUAUAUGUGAGCAUUACUAUCCCACCUGUAACUGAAAUGUAGUAAGAGGGAGUUAUCAUUACAGCUCUGAACUCAUAUAGACAACAAAAUUAGCAAUUUGACUUCAAAACUACUUGAGACACUAGAUUUUUCUUAGUAGGCUAGGUUUUAUUAUAAGCCAUGGAUCACAACUGGAAGGACAUUGCAAUGCAGCAAGGUGCCAUGAAAAAGCUGAGAAGCAUCCAAGGAAUUACGUCUAUCUCAGUGCAAACUGUGCCAAACUUCUAAAACAUCCUGUAGUCUUCUAUUUCAAAAUGAAGCUGGAUAUUCACUAUUCUACAUUUUGAUUGCCUAACUUAAUGCUCUUAUAAACUCAGACUAUACUAAAGUUUAAGGGGAGGAAGUUAAGCUGUGAGAAACUCCUAAUAGCCUGCCAAGACGAAUAAUUUUCCCUUUAUAUUUUUUCAAAAGCAAUAUAGUACAAUACAGCAACAUGAAACUCUACUUUGCAGUACAGGUAUAUAUUAAAGGUCAACUAUAUUUCAUAGGCUUGCAGUCCCACUGAGAAACUGUUUUGAAAAAAACACUGGUGAUACAAGCAUCCAGGAAAGAAUCACAGAUUAACAAAAUGCUAAAAUUUAAAAAUGUCUCAGAAUUUCUGGGAUUUUUCAGCCUCUACUCAGUUUCAGCUCUAAUGUUUUUAUAAGCAAUAAUCAAGAGGCCUGUUGCAGACAGAGAGGGAUGAAGCUAUGAAAUAGCACAGCCACCUGCCUAUCAAUUAACCCUGAGCACCAUUGGAAAUGUUACUGCCACCAUAUCACCUGUCAUAUGUUCACAUCUGGUAUAAUAUGAAUUUUUUUUCAAAUAUAUUCAGAUGCUUCUUGAGGGCUUUGGUUUUUGUCUGCCAGUAAGUAAAUUCUAUCUUCAGUUUCCAGCUCAGGAUUGAAUGCUGGGAGCUUCUGCUACAACUUCCAUCUGCAGAACUUCUUGUGUGGGCAGCUGCACAAGAAACUCUUCAAACUCUUCUGCAGCUCAGAAGACAUUGAUGCCUGUGUUUGCAUAAUGUAGUGACAGUAGAUAUAAACACUGAGCAUGUUUUACAUUUCAUUUCAGAGGAUAUGAACUAUAGGCAUCCAGAAGACAGGACAGAAAUUCCACAGAGGAAAAUCCAGAGUCACUGCUGUUACCUCACCUUUACAGCAAUAGUAACUCUAAAAUAUGCCAUCACACAAAUUCUGGAUUUAAAAACUUUUUUUUUAAUAGAGGGGGGCAUUUAGAUUUAAUUGCACACAAACAUAGAAUAAACCAAGAAACAAGCAGCUUUCUAAAAUACAAUUGCAAAAUGCAUGAUGCUGUUUGCAGAAAGGACUAUCUUAAGUUAAAAAGUGAGAAACAAUAUGUAUCAUGCACUAACACAUCUGUGGCUGAUACAGAAUUAAAUAAAAAAAAAGAUGACACACAGAAACUAAGGAGUCUUUGCUGUGGGUUACUGUCAAUGGAAAGCUCAACUUGACUGUCACAAAGAAGAAGCUGUCAGCAAACCCAUCGCUGCUCAUGGCCAGAGGGCUGACUAGCACUGUUCAAACAAUGGGUGGGACCAACAUGAGAAAGGAAAUGGAACCCAAAACGUGCUGUUUGAUUCCAUCCCAGCCAUGGUUCCUCCCAGUAACAUUGUUCUGCAGCCUAGCCAGAAGCCAUAUCCACAUAAGCCGUGCCUUUAAUCACCCAAUUCCUAUUGAUUUCAAUGGGAAUCAGGCUCCUAAAUGCCUUUGUCAGUCUUAGCUUUACUGAUGUUGCCUUCAAACAGCAGUGAGAAGCUUUUGUACCACCCUGUUGCUGCUUCAACACCUUUCCAGGAGAAAGGAGGAAAACUACAUGCAUGUCUUAGGUGUGAUUCUUUCCAUUUUGCAAGGAGAUAACCACAAAGCCAGCACAAAAGGAGACAUCAGAAAGCAUACAAUUAUGUAUGGCUUUUAACACAAAGUGACAGCAGUGGCUGGCUAUGUCAGCAUACCUUUCCCAGAAACUCUGACAGCAUAUUCAAAUAUUAAGGAAAUUCCUAAUCACCUCUUACUUUCACACAUUUUUGAAAAUUAGAUUUAAGACUAUGCAAUUGUGUUAUAUUUCACAGCUAUUUUACAUGUAAAAUGUUGGGCACAGUUAUCCUGGCUGUCAAGCAGUUUCAUUGCAGCAGUUUAUAACACCACAAGGAAAUGUGUAUUUAAGGGGUGACUCUUUUUAGAGUUAUGUUCUGUUAGUGUUCUAUCCCCCUUAUGAGAGAUGAUUGAAGAAAAAAAGAAAAAUAACAUAUGGCAGCCAUUGCCAAAGUAAACACAUCUUGUUUUGAAAACCUGCAUGCUCCUCAGUUACUUUAAGAGUAAAAAGAGCUUUUAAAAAAUCAAUUCCAUUUGCUGCCUCCUGGGUUUUGAUUUUUUGGUUUUGGGUUUUUAUUUUUUCUGGCAAUUAACCAUUGUUGUUGGCAUUACAAAGAUCUGACAUUCAUUAAAAAAAAAAAAAGCAGCUGCGCUGGAAAUCAUGAAUGUCAAAGAAAAUUGAGAAUGCUAGCACAUGCUGAGUCGUUCUCCAGCAUAUUAACAGAAAUGCAUUCCAAAAGCAGGUUUUAUCCUAAGAAACCCUGAUCAGGGGUAGAAAUUCUUAUUGCUAUGGAAAAAGAGAUAAAUAUACAAAAUGAGAGUCAUUAUUUAUAUUACUUUCAAUGCUUAAAGUCUUAAAUGGUUCAUGGACACACGACCACAGACAUCACUUAUUUUUGCAUGCCACGUGUCAUCACAGGCUGUCAGCAGUGACAGCUGACUGACAGUUUAUCUCCUUUUGCAUAAAUGAGACAUUGCUACUGGUCAGACUAUCCUGCUUCCAAUGGAAAAAAAAAUGUUUCUUUCUAGAACAAGGACUUUAAAAUUAGGACUUAAAAUGUCAUCUGGUCCACUGCUCUACUCCAAGGCAGGACUGCUAGGGUUUAAAUGGUAUUCUGACAUUUUUUGAGUCUAUAUGUGAUUAUGAGAACAUAUAAGUGAAAUCAAACCUCCCCAUCCCAGAAGAGGCUUCUACAAACAAGUUAUGAAAAAAAAUAUUAAGAACUGAUAGUCUAGGAGUUGCACUUUAAUUACAUGUUCUGAUCUCUGGCAGGCUGUUGUAAGCUGACUGUUGUGUCUUGAAAGUGAUGUUUUAAGUUUGAAAAUUCCUGAACACAGGAAUGCUUAGGUCUGUAGUCCUUGCCAUUGGCUUACAACACUGGUGCACUGAUCUGGUACACUGUUAGCACAUCAGAACAGUGACCAACAAUUGUCUAAAAAAACAAUACAGAGAAAUACCACACUCAUUUUCUUCACCUGUAAGAAAUUUUGUACUAACACACUGAUACCAUUAGACUGCUAUGACCAGCUUGCAGAAUUCAGCCUGCCAUGCUCUGCAACAUCUUUACAGCAUCCACUAAACGUCCUGGAAGAUCUCCUAAAGGGAAUGGAGACCAUUAACUCUGAUCAUCCAUCCCAGGAAAGGCAUUUUCAUAGGUAAUCCUAUAUCAUCCUGUAUGUUUUUCUACAGUGGAAUAACUCAGAUAUAAUAUUAUAGUUCAAGAGAGUCGCUGAAUAUGUUUCAAGACUUAGAACUUGUGUGAAGGAGAAACAUUUAUACAUCUUUUACAAGCUCAUUCAGGCUAUUCAGUGAGGCUGUUUGAAACUGAAGAGCAACGGAAGCAUCAAAAUAGGUGAAAUGUAAACAAAAUGCAAAUUAAAUACUAGAAAUAUAAAUCAA
Molecule: long non-coding RNA, 4027 nt
Organism: Passer domesticus (house sparrow)
Lineage: Eukaryota; Metazoa; Chordata; Aves; Passeriformes; Passeridae
Exons: 2
Source: RefSeq, a predicted model, not a curated record